UACGAUUGUUCUCUACAAUGCAAGGAAGUUUUACAGCGCUGUAAUCAUUGUGAUUUCAUGCUGGACCAUAAAAGCUGGACUAAGGCGUUCCUUGCUUGCCCAGGCCUAACCGCGCACAAGAUGUCCGCCAUCACCUCGUCGAAUGAAGGAAUAACAAAUGCAAGAAAAUACUCGAAUUUAUGCUAUUUAAAAGCAUGGCUGCUGCAGUCCACUGGGCCUGUUGUCAAAGAUUUUUCAUUGCUUUCUUGCUUGAUUGUGUUAUAGGUGCGCAAACUCAGUAGAAAUACCAUGUCUUCAGUUAUCAUGUCUCUGGACCAGUUUGACGUUGUUCCAAAUAAGAUCAUGCACCUCUGCAUAAUGGAAACGCACUUGAGGUGCCUCUACAAAGAGGCCCUCCUCAAGUCACGUGGGGUCUUGACUCGAUCCCCUGGCCAAACUGGCAUCAUCAAUCAUCAGGAGCAGUCUUCUACUUAACAUACCUUGUUCUUUAUAAUGGCCAGACGACAGCUGGAUUCCUUUCGCUUGCAACAACAACUGAAAAAUAAAACACAACAAUAACAAUAAAAUAAAGCACUGGAUUGCCUUCUACAAUAAUUGUAGACAUGUAAAAUGAGAGAUGAUCAAACUCCAAGACUUACAUUAAUAUUAACAUAUGAUUACCAAGUGGUUUAGAAUAUUUAUACUGCAUUAAGUACUUGAUCAAAUCUUGAUAAUGCUUUUUAUGUAAAAGAAAAUAGUACCGGUUUGAUAAUCUCAAUUUCUAUCAUGGUUACUGCAGUUGAAUAUCAACCAAAACUUUUUAAUAAUUUCCUUGACUAUUGGUGAUAUAUUUUGAGAAAGAGUUGGGCAUUUUAGAGUUGUGAUUAAGGGAUGUUCAAGUGUAGGUUUCACAGAAGGCAAUCCAGGCAAACCACUGACUGUUUGAUUCAAACAUUACAUUUUAUAUGUUAGAGGCCCAAGAGCAUCUGAGAGCCUCUUUACUGUCCCAGGCCCUUGGCCAGAACAAUCUUAAAACACAGCAACUUUCUUCAUAUUUUUUGCUUAUCAAUUUUUGCCCGAAUGGCAGACAAUUUUCAACCAACCUCACCUCCAUGUUAUAACAAUAUUAAUGAAUAACAAAAUCUGAUCUGGUUGGCUAGCAACAAAGUCCACAGAGACCCUGGCAUCUUUUCUAUUUUAAUAUGCAACAUUCCCAGAUGCUCCUGGGCCUUUAAGUAUAUUCACAUUAGGAUUAUAUAACUUGACUAGAAGUCCAUAGAUGACAAGUCUUAAUUUAUAAAUUUACUUGAUGUUUUUAACUGCAACAUUUNGUACUCUUGAAAAUAAAAAGAUGACACAUCAAGUAAACUCAUAAGUUAAGACUUCAUAGUCAAGUACUGGUAUCAUAAGUAUUAAUAGUCUCUAGGAUAGGGGAAGUCUCCUAGUUCCUUCACUUAAAGUGGUACACGAAACCCAACACUAUAAAUUAUACAAAGGAAAUUACAUGGAGACUUCCCCUUAAUUAUUUCAUCCCUGAUUACUCGUGUAAACAAAGUCUGGUUCACAAAAAGGCAUCAGUAUAAGAAAUAGAUUUUUCCUUUGUCUUUUGUGUUUGACUUCUGAUUGUCUUUCUGUGAACCAGACUUAACAUAUUGUUGACAUUGUAUAUCAACAAGGGGAUUAGGCAUUGUGUAGCUUAUUCCCUUGGGAAUUAAAAUAUGACAAAAUAAAAUACUAUGGAGGAUUA
Molecule: long non-coding RNA, 1726 nt
Filed under: Exaiptasia diaphana
Lineage: Eukaryota; Metazoa; Cnidaria; Anthozoa; Actiniaria; Aiptasiidae
Description: uncharacterized LOC110247707
Source: RNAcentral